UGAACUCCUGUUUUCUUGUCUCUCAAAACAGGAGAAUUACAGCCUGCUGCUAGAGUGUUUGAUCAGUGUAAAUGAUUUGUGUCUAUAAGAUGCCAUGUACAGCCACAAUCUCAGUGAGAAAUGGGUUGUCGCCUCUUCUUCUUCAACUCAGUGCUCGUGUAAGAAUUCUGGUGACUGUUAGAAGCAUGCUUCCAAGCUGUCCGUGUCCUCGGCAUCCAGAAGCGGAGCCUGGAAGCUACUGAAUUUCUCCAGAAUGCGUUCUACAUUCACCUUCUGCAGAUAAGGAGACUGAGAAUUAGGUCUUCUGUAGUUUGGAUGGAGCUCAUUAUCAAUGACAGGAAAUUGUAAGGAAAAAGAUAUUGAUUCAUCCUGAGAAAAUAUUUUUCUGACCGUCAGCAUUGAAGAGGGUGAACACUGAAGAAGGUGAUCAUUGUUUGAUUGAGACGAGCCCCGGGUUGUACGGAGUCAGCAUCCCUGUCCUGGACACGGCACGUGUAGAUCUGCGUGGUGGGUGAGGCGGUGAGG
This is a long non-coding RNA of Camelus dromedarius (Arabian camel), 525 nucleotides long. RefSeq lists it as uncharacterized. The record is from RefSeq and is a predicted model, not a curated record. The transcript has 3 exons. Lineage: Eukaryota; Metazoa; Chordata; Mammalia; Artiodactyla; Camelidae.